UCUAAUAUGGCAGAUUAGUGCAAUGAAUUUAAGCUUCAUUUAUAAAGAAUUUUAUCUUUUAUUAGAA
RNAcentral lists this transfer RNA (67 nucleotides) under Aedes busckii. Its description in RNAcentral is "tRNA-Leu". The record is from RNAcentral. Lineage: Eukaryota; Metazoa; Arthropoda; Insecta; Diptera; Culicidae.